Molecule: ribosomal RNA, 432 nt
Filed under: uncultured bacterium
Lineage: Bacteria
Description: partial 16S ribosomal RNA
Rfam family: Bacterial small subunit ribosomal RNA
Source: RNAcentral
CCUACGGGGGGCAGCAGUCGAGAAUUUUUCUCAAUGGGGGAAACCCUGAAGGAGCGACGCCGCGUGGAGGAUGAAGGCUUUCGGGUUGUAAACUCCUGUCAUUUGAGAACUAGUAUCAGAAGAGGAAGAGACGGCUAACUCUGUGCCAGCAGCCGCGGUAAUACAGAGGUCUCAAGCGUUGUUCGGAUUCAUUGGGCGUAAAGGGUGCGUAGGUGGCGGGGUAAGUCAGGUGUGAAAUUUCGGAGCUUAACUCCGAAACUGCAUUUGAUACUGCCUUGCUUGAGGACUGGAGAGGAGACUGGAAUUCACGGUGUAGCAGUGAAAUGCGUAGAGAUCGUGAGGAAGACCAGUGGCGAAGGCGGGUCUCUGGACAGUCCUGACACUGAGGCACGAAGGCCAGGGGAGCAAACGGGAUUAGAUACCCUUGUAGUC